Molecule: transfer-messenger RNA, 348 nt
Filed under: Altererythrobacter sp.
Lineage: Bacteria; Pseudomonadati; Pseudomonadota; Alphaproteobacteria; Sphingomonadales; Erythrobacteraceae
Rfam family: Alphaproteobacteria transfer-messenger RNA
About the family: Bacterial tmRNA, also known as 10Sa RNA or SsrA, is named for its dual tRNA and mRNA-like properties. Its role is to liberate the mRNA from a stalled ribosome.
Source: RNAcentral
CCACUUCACAUUAAGGCGCGGGGUCCUAUAUAGGGUCUCGCCGGUUUCGGCCGGCUAUGGUGAUAAAUGAUGGCGUGCAAUAGGCACAACGGACCCGGGGGCAGUACCCGGCGGCUCCACCAUCUCCGGCGACGAGAGCGCCGGCGUUGACGGGGCCGAACUAGGAUCGACGUGUGUUGAAAGGCGUUGUUUUCACCCGGGCUGAGUAACCCGCAUAAGGCUCAAAACCCAUAAGUGCCAACGACAACGAAGCACUUGCUCUCGCCGCGUAAUGUGACGGCUUAACGGCCUGAAUUUACAACGCAAAGAGCACGGUUCGGACCGAACCGGGUAACAGAAUCGGAAACC